Dendroctonus ponderosae (mountain pine beetle) is the source of this 682-nucleotide long non-coding RNA. RefSeq lists it as uncharacterized. The record is from RefSeq and is a predicted model, not a curated record. NCBI's taxonomy places the organism in Eukaryota, Metazoa, Arthropoda, Insecta, Coleoptera, Curculionidae. The transcript has 3 exons.
UACGUUGACUCACGUGGGCGAUUACUUUACAAGUCAAAACAAAUAACUGAAUUUGUGUUUACUUUUCUUUGUUCCAUGUGAAUUUUUGUCCCAGGCUUUAUACUUGGAUUAUUUAGACCCCAGACUACAUACUAUACUGAUUUAGACGCCAAAUAGUAUCUAGGUCUCUAGCAAGCAUGGAGAAGAACUUGGAUCGUGUAAUGGAAGAAAUAUGCAGUAAUGGGGAAGUAUUAGGUUGCCUGUUUUCUGAUCAUCAGGGGUUCUGUAUAGGAUCGAGGGGCCUAGCUUCUAAUGAAAGCGCCGGAUUUAUCACAGCAAUUGCCAAUCAAGCCGCUAAACUAGAACCUAAUAGCAAACCACCCAUUAUUACUUUAGAGAACGAUAGCCAACUGUGUAUCAUCCAAAAAAUGGGCACUGUGACUGGGGCCAUUUAUAAACGGACUUAGUCUCUCUCUCAUUGCAGAACCUUAAUUUUUGUUUGUUAAAUAUUUAUUAAGUUUUUAUUUGUGAAAGGCAAUACAUAUUUGUCCGAAAUGUAAAUAUGUUCAUAGAACCUGUAUUGUUUCUGUACGUGAUACGGCUGUUGCAAAGCAGUUCAGUUAGUUCUGGAUAACAACAUUUAAUAAGGCAAAAUUUGGUUUCAACAAUCAAAUUUUAUUAAAAUCUGAAGAUCAACAAUCAA